RNAcentral lists this ribosomal RNA (876 nucleotides) under Ophiocordyceps sp. FY-2020a. RNAcentral's name for it is "partial large subunit ribosomal RNA". It matches the Rfam family "Eukaryotic large subunit ribosomal RNA", at positions 71 to 961 of the family's 3401-position model. Lineage: Eukaryota; Fungi; Ascomycota; Sordariomycetes; Hypocreales; Ophiocordycipitaceae. The record is from RNAcentral.
GGGAUUGCCCUAGUAACGGCGAGUGAAGCGGCAACAGCUCAAAUUUGAAAUCUGGCUUUCCUCUGGAAGCCCGAGUUGUAAUUUGCAGAGGAUGCUUUUGACAAGACACCAUCCGAGUUCCUUGGAAUAGGACGCCACAGAGGGUGAGAGCCCCGUCUGGUUGGAUGUCGAGUCUCUAUAAAGCUCCUUCGACGAGUCGAGUAGUUUGGGAAUGCUGCUCAAAGUGGGAGGUAUAUGUCUUCUAAAGCUAAAUACCGGCUAGAGACCGAUAGCGCACAAGUAGAGUGAUCGAAAGAUGAAAAGCACUUUGAAAAGAGGGUUAAACAGUACGUGAAAUUGCUGAGAGGGAAGCGCUUAUAACCAGACGUGAGUAGUGUCCAAUCACCCAGUAUUCUUACUGGGGCACUUGGAUAUUUUCAGGCCAGCAUCGGUUUGGCACAGGGGACAAAGACACGUGGAACGUAGCCCCCCUUUUGGGGGGUGUUAUAGCCUAGUGUGUAAUGCCCUGUGGUGGACCGAGGAACGCGCAUCACUGCAUGGAUGCUGGCGUAAUGGUUGUCAGCGACCCGUCUUGAAACACGGACCAAGGAGUCGUCCUCGUAUGCGAGUGUUUGGGUGUAAAACCCGUACGCGGAAUGAAAGUGAACGUAGGUGAGAGCUCUCACGAGCGCAUCACCGACCGAUCCUGAUGUUCUCGGAUGGAUUUGAGUAAGAGCAUACGGGGCCGGACCCGAAAGAAGGUGAACUAUGCCUGCGUAGGGUGAAGCCAGAGGAAACUCUGGUGGAGGCUCGCAGCGGUUCUGACGUGCAAAUCGAUCGUCAAACGUGGGCAUGGGGGCGAAAGACUAAUCGAACCUUCUAGUAGCUGGUUUCCGC